GGGACUCCAUAAGUUAAACUGUAGAGUCGAGAUGGAAACAACCGGAAAGGUUACUGCAUGUCCUAAAA
This 68-nucleotide ribosomal RNA is filed under the name Eimeria praecox. RNAcentral describes it as "large subunit ribosomal RNA". Lineage: Eukaryota; Apicomplexa; Conoidasida; Eucoccidiorida; Eimeriidae. The record is from RNAcentral.